GACGAACGCUGGCGGCGUGCCUAAUACAUGCAAGUAGAACGCAGUUGCGAACGGGUGAGUCACGCGUCGGUAACUUCCUGGUAGCGGGGGAUAACUAUUGGAAACGAUAGCUAAUACCGCAUACUACCAGAUGGACCUGCGUUGUAUUAGCUAGUGGGUGGGGUAACGGCUCACCAAGGCAACGAUACAUAGCCGACCUGAGAGGGUGAUCGGCCACACUGGAAAUGAGACACGGUCCGGACUCCUACGGGAGGCAGCAGUGGGGAAUAUUGCACAAUGGGCGCAAGCCUGAUGCAGCCAUGCCGCGUGUGUGAAGAAGGCCUUCGGGUUGUAAAGCACUUUCAGCGGGGAGCGUUACCCGCAGAAGAAGCACCGGCUAACUCCGUGCCAGCCGCCGCGGUAAUAC
RNAcentral lists this ribosomal RNA (406 nucleotides) under uncultured bacterium. Its description in RNAcentral is "partial 16S ribosomal RNA". It matches the Rfam family "Bacterial small subunit ribosomal RNA", at positions 28 to 526 of the family's 1533-position model. The record is from RNAcentral.